This 304-nucleotide ribosomal RNA is filed under the name uncultured bacterium. Its description in RNAcentral is "partial 16S ribosomal RNA". It matches the Rfam family "Bacterial small subunit ribosomal RNA", at positions 506 to 807 of the family's 1533-position model. The record is from RNAcentral.
CAGCAGUAGCCGCGGGAAUACGUAGGUGGCAAGCGUUGUCCGGAAUUAUUGGGCGUAAAGGGCUCGCAGGCGGUUUCUUAAGUCUGAUGUGAAAGCCCCCGGCUCAACCGGGGAGGGUCAUUGGAAACUGGGAAACUCGAGUGCAGAAGAGGAGAGUGGAAUUCCACGUGUAGCGGUGAAAUGCGUAGAGAUGUGGAGGAACACCAGUGGCGAAGGCGACUCUCUGGUCUGUAACUGACGCUGAGGAGCGAAAGCGUGGGGAGCGAACAGGAUUAGAUACCCGCGUAGUCCCUGUCUCUUAUAC